UUGCCUUAAACUAAGGAGUAAGGAAAACAAAGCGAACUGGUGGGAGCCGGUCGUAGCAUCUAACAACAUGAUGCAAUUAUUUUUGGAGGGGUGAUAGGCUGGCCAUGUGUUGACGCUGCUUACUUUUGCAGAACUCACACAUGCAGGCCUCCCUUACCC
Molecule: small nuclear RNA, 159 nt
Organism: Medicago truncatula (barrel medic)
Lineage: Eukaryota; Viridiplantae; Streptophyta; Magnoliopsida; Fabales; Fabaceae
Rfam family: U12 minor spliceosomal RNA
About the family: Although the U12 sequence is very divergent from that of U2, the two are functionally analogous.
Source: Rfam